AACGCACAUUGCGCCCCCUGGCAUUCCGGGGGGCAUGCCUGUCCGAGCGUCAUUUCUGCCCUCCAGCGCGGCUGGGUGUUGGGUGCUGUCCCCCCGGGGACACGCCCCAAAGGCAGUGGCGGCGCCGCGUCGGGUCCUCGAGCGUAUGGGGCUCUGUCACCCGCUCGGGAAGGACUCGCCGGCGCCUGGUCUCCUUCAACUAAUUUUCCGGUUGACCUCGGAUCAGGUAGGGUUACCCGCUGAACUUAA
This 249-nucleotide unclassified non-coding RNA is filed under the name Talaromyces sp. Its description in RNAcentral is "partial contains 5.8S ribosomal RNA, internal transcribed spacer 2, and large subunit ribosomal RNA". Lineage: Eukaryota; Fungi; Ascomycota; Eurotiomycetes; Eurotiales; Trichocomaceae. The record is from RNAcentral. RNAcentral also lists the same sequence under 1 other name.